Molecule: long non-coding RNA, 855 nt
Filed under: Salvator merianae (Argentine black and white tegu)
Lineage: Eukaryota; Metazoa; Chordata; Lepidosauria; Squamata; Teiidae
Description: lncRNA (ENSSMRG00000013288.1)
Source: RNAcentral
CAAGCUGUUCAUGAAACUGAAGCAGUGGAAAAAGAUAGAUGAACUGCUGCAGCUGCAGUCAAAUCUUUUGGAGGUUUCCAGUAUGGAGCGAGUGAUGAAGGCCCUUCAGGAACAAGCAGCAACAGUACUAGAGGCAAAGCCACCCACUUUUAUGACUUCUUUUAAGUCACAACAAUAUGAUCUAAUCUGGGACAAGAUUUAUGAAAGCACAGAACUACUUCAGGGAAGAAGAAGUAGUGAUAGUCCUACUACUGCAAUUUUGGCAGCUGAUGAGAAGGACAUGGAAAACAACAUCUUUAGGAAGACUUCCACUUUUUCAAGAAAGAAGAAAGACACAAGCUACUCGCUGCUGGAGUCAGACAAGGACAUGGAGACCAGCAACAAAGACCUCGCUCUGAGGAAAGGAGCCUACCUGUCUCUCGUUUAUUUGCGUCACUUGAGAAUCCGAGAGCUGAAGAGAAUUUGCUUGGGGAUUCUUAAUUACUUCAGAUCUGUGGAAAGAACUGUAACAAUCAGCACUUCAGGCCUUGCCUUGAAUAGCGGCCAUUUGGUCUCCACCGCAGAGGACCCCUGCUGGGUGAAUGCAGCCAAAGGUGGCACUGGCUGCUAUGGUGGUCUUGCUUCACACCCUUACAUGCAUUAUACACCAGCAGACUAUAAGGUUCACAGUGCACAGUUCAUGGAGUUUGCAGAGGUAGAAAAUCAUGAUGAUUUUUAUACUACAGAAGAUCUUUAUAUUCACACACAAGAUCAGCGAGGGGCUUUUGUGAUGUACGAUGUGGCCCUUCAGGAUCUUGAAGAAUUAGAAAAGGAGCUUUUACUUGUGGCAACUCAGUAUAUUGAGGCAGAGAAAGG